Molecule: ribosomal RNA, 468 nt
Filed under: uncultured bacterium
Lineage: Bacteria
Description: partial 16S ribosomal RNA
Rfam family: Bacterial small subunit ribosomal RNA
Source: RNAcentral
GACGAACGCUGGCGGCGUGCUUAACACAUGCAAGUCGAACGGAAAGGCCCUGUUUUUGUGGGGUGCUCGAGUGGCGAACGGGUGAGUAUCACGUGAGUAACCUGCCCUUGACUUUGGGAUAACUUCUGGAAACUGGGGCUAAUACCGGAUAGGAGCUCCUGCUGCACGGUGGGGGUUGGAAAGUUUCGGCGGUUGGGGAUGGACGCGCGGCUUAUCAGCUUGUUGGUGGGGUAGUGGCUUACCAAGGCUUUGACGGGUAGCCGGCCUGAGAGGGUGACCGGCCACAUUGGGACUGAGAUGCGGCCCAGACUCCUACGGGAGGCAGCAGUGGGGAAUAUUGCACGAUGGGCGGAAGCAUGAUGCAGCAACGCCGCGUGCGGGAUGACGGCCUUCGGGUUGGAAACCGCUUUCGCCUGUGACGAAGCGUGAGUGACGGUAAUGGGUAAAGAAGCACCGGCUAACUACGUG